Molecule: ribosomal RNA, 587 nt
Filed under: uncultured bacterium
Lineage: Bacteria
Description: bacterial SSU rRNA
Rfam family: Bacterial small subunit ribosomal RNA
Source: RNAcentral
GGACGGGUGAGUAACGCGUAGGGAUCUGUCCAUGGGUGGGGGAUAACUUUGGGAAACUGAAGCUAAUACCGCAUGACACCUGAGGGUCAAAGGCGCAAGUCGCCUGUGGAGGAACCUGCGUUCGAUUAGCUAGUUGGUGGGGUAAAGGCCUACCAAGGCGAUGAUCGAUAGCUGGUCUGAGAGGAUGAUCAGCCACACUGGGACUGAGACACGGCCCAGACUCCUACGGGAGGCAGCAGUGGGGAAUAUUGGACAAUGGGCGCAAGCCUGAUCCAGCAAUGCCGCGUGUGUGAAGAAGGUUUUCGGAUUGUAAAGCACUUUCAGCGGGGACGAUGAUGACGGUACCCGCAGAAGAAGCCCCGGCUAACUUCGUGCCAGCAGCCGCGGUAAUACGAAGGGGGCAAGCGUUGCUCGGAAUGACUGGGCGUAAAGGGCGCGUAGGCGGUUGACACAGUCAGGUGUGAAAUUCCCGGGCUUAACCUGGGGUCUGCAUUUGAUACGUGGCGACUAGAGUGUGAGAGAGGGUUGUGGAAUUCCCAGUGUAGAGGGUGAAAUUCGUAGAUAUUGGGAAGAACACCGGGUGGCGA